This 842-nucleotide ribosomal RNA is filed under the name Staphylococcus aureus. RNAcentral's name for it is "partial 23S ribosomal RNA". It matches the Rfam family "Bacterial large subunit ribosomal RNA", at positions 717 to 1559 of the family's 2925-position model. The record is from RNAcentral. Lineage: Bacteria; Bacillati; Bacillota; Bacilli; Caryophanales; Staphylococcaceae.
GAAACCAGGUGAUCUACCCUUGGUCAGGUUGAAGUUCAGGUAACACUGAAUGGAGGACCGAACCGACUUACGUUGAAAAGUGAGCGGAUGAACUGAGGGUAGCGGAGAAAUUCCAAUCGAACCUGGAGAUAGCUGGUUCUCUCCGAAAUAGCUUUAGGGCUAGCCUCAAGUGAUGAUUAUUGGAGGUAGAGCACUGUUUGGACGAGGGGCCCCUCUCGGGUUACCGAAUUCAGACAAACUCCGAAUGCCAAUUAAUUUAACUUGGGAGUCAGAACAUGGGUGAUAAGGUCCGUGUUCGAAAGGGAAACAGCCCAGACCACCAGCUAAGGUCCCAAAAUAUAUGUUAAGUGGAAAAGGAUGUGGCGUUGCCCAGACAACUAGGAUGUUGGCUUAGAAGCAGCCAUCAUUUAAAGAGUGCGUAAUAGCUCACUAGUCGAGUGACACUGCGCCGAAAAUGUACCGGGGCUAAACAUAUUACCGAAGCUGUGGAUUGUCCUUUGGACAAUGGUAGGAGAGCGUUCUAAGGGCGUUGAAGCAUGAUCGUAAGGACAUGUGGAGCGCUUAGAAGUGAGAAUGCCGGUGUGAGUAGCGAAAGACGGGUGAGAAUCCCGUCCACCGAUUGACUAAGGUUUCCAGAGGAAGGCUCGUCCGCUCUGGGUUAGUCGGGUCCUAAGCUGAGGCCGACAGGCGUAGGCGAUGGAUAACAGGUUGAUAUUCCUGUACCACCUAUAAUCGUUUUAAUCGAUGGGGGGACGCAGUAGGAUAGGCGAAGCGUGCGAUUGGAUUGCACGUCUAAGCAGUAAGGCUGAGUAUUAGGCAAAUCCGGUACUCGUUAAGGCUGA